CCUACGGGCGGCAGCAGUGAGGAAUAUUGGUCCAUGGACGGAAGUCUGAACCAGCCAUGCCGCGUGCAGGAAGACGGCUCUAUGAGUUGUAAACUGCUUUUGUACAAGGGUAAACCUGAAUACGUGUAUUCAGCUGAAAGUACUGUACGAAUAAGGAUCGGCUAACUCCGUGCCAGCAGCCGCGGUAAUACGGAGGAUCCAAGCGUUAUCCGGAUUUAUUGGGUUUAAAGGGUGCGUAGGCGGAUUGAUAAGUUAGAGGUGAAAUGUCCGAGCUUAACUCGGGAACUGCCUCUAAUACUGUUGGUCUAGAGAGUAGAUGCGGUAGGCGGAAUGUAUGGUGUAGCGGUGAAAUGCUUAGAGAUCAUACAGAACACCGAUUGCGAAGGCAGCUUACCAAUCUAUAUCUGACGUUGAGGCACGAAAGCGUGGGGAGCAAACAGGAUUAGAUACCCUUGUAGUC
RNAcentral lists this ribosomal RNA (460 nucleotides) under uncultured bacterium. RNAcentral's name for it is "partial 16S ribosomal RNA". It matches the Rfam family "Bacterial small subunit ribosomal RNA", at positions 338 to 795 of the family's 1533-position model. The record is from RNAcentral.